Molecule: long non-coding RNA, 1933 nt
Organism: Monodelphis domestica (gray short-tailed opossum)
Lineage: Eukaryota; Metazoa; Chordata; Mammalia; Didelphimorphia; Didelphidae
Source: Ensembl
CACGCACCUUCCGUCUUAGAAUCAAUACAUGGUAGCUGGGGGUCCCAUCCUAGCCAGACUCCACGGCUUCUGGCCCCCACACGCCCAAUGUUUCCUGGAGCAGAACCUCGGAGAGGUGUUCAAAGCUCCCGGAAUUGGCCACAAGAGGGCAGAAAGUGUCCAUUAUGGAAAGGCAGCCCACGCCCUGGAAAUAGGGACAGGACCCAUAGGUCAGCCCCCUUGCCCUGGUGAAAUGAAAUACAGCCUAGAUGGGUAGGAGAUGAGACAUCUGCAGAGGUCACCCGAGAAAAGGUGGCAGUGCUGGAUCGGGGAUUGGAGAACUUGGGCUCACAGCUCAACUCGAUUGUGAACUAGGUGAAGUUAGGCAAGUCAUGGCCUGUGCCUCAGUUUCCUCCUCUGUAAAAUGGAGGAGCUGGAUUCCGAGGUCCCCUCCAGCUCCAGUGGGCCUGAGUUACAUGAGCUCAAAGUGGCAGCACCACCACUCAACACUUCUUAAUCGGUGCCAAGAUAAACUGUUCUCUGGGUCAUCCUUCAUUCAUGGAAUAAAAUAGAUAAGGAACCAGAGACUCCCAGAGUUAUGAGAAGCCUGGCCUGACUGACCAGGACUCCUCCAUCUUUUUUCUUCCCUUAGUCUCAAAGACCCAUUAUGUCUCCCUCCCUCCCUCCCUCUCCAUAGAAGACACCAACCAACAGAAAUAUGUAUAUAUAAAUUAUAUCAAGUUAUCAUUCCUUCUCUGGAGGUUGGACAUUCACAAGCUAUUCUUCAAACAUUAAUUUCUGCAGUUGUAGACAUUGGUUCUACUCUUUGGACUCCAUUACUUCAUGUAGGUCUUUCCAAAUUUGCUUGUUGUUGUUGUUGUUGUUGUUGUUGUUGUUUAAUAUUAACCUGUUCAUCAUUUCUUAUGGUGUGGUAGUAUUUUAUCACAUAGAACACAUUUUCUGCUGGGUCCUCUCUUCCCUCUCUCCCUCUGCCUCUGUCUCUGUCUCUCUUCUCUUUCUGUCUGUCUGUCUCUCUCUGUUUCCCUUUCUCUCUCUAUCUGUCUCUGUCUGUCUCUGUCUCCCUUUCUCUCUCUCUGUCUCCUUUUCUCUCUCUCUAUUUCUCUCUGUCUCUUUCCCUUUCUCUCUGUCUGUCUCCCUUUCUCUCUCUCUUUCUAUUUCUCUCUGUCUCUUUCCCUCUCUCUCUGUCUGUCUGUCUCUGUCUCUCUCCCUUUCUCUCUCUCUGUCUGUCUCCCUUUCUCUCUCUCUCUUUCAAUCUUUCUGUCUCUGUCUCCCUUUCUCUCUUUGUCUCCCCUUCUCUCUCUCUCUUUCUAUUUCUCUGUCUCUCUCCCUUGCUCUGUCUCCCUUUCUCUCUCUUUCUCUGUCUCCCCUUCUCUCUCUCUCUGUUUCUCUCUUUCUGUCUGUCUGCCUCUGUCUGUCUGUCUGUCUCCCUUUCUCUCUCUCUCUUUCAAUCUUUCUGUCUCUGUCUCCCCUUCUCUCUCUCUCUCUAUUUCUCUCCGUCUCUCUCCCUUUCUCUCUUUCUGCCUGUCUCUCUCCUUGGUCAGGCUCAUUCACAACAGUCCAUUCAGCUCUCACCUCUAUGCAAAUAACUUCCUUGCCUCGUCACCUAAUGCCUUUUCCAGGCCCCCCAGAAGACCAGUUUCUCCAGGGGCUCCCCAUCUGGAUGGCCCGUCAUGCCCAAUCCGCACGGCGGUCCCCAAGGAGCUCCCCUUUCCUUUGUUUCCCCAAAGUCCUCUUCUCUCGGUCCUCGCUGCCAGUGGCACCGGCCAUCCGUUCCCUCAGCCUCCCGGGCUUGGAGCUUCGGGCUCUUAUCUUCCGCGUGUCGGUUUCCAGCGCUUCUCCUAGCCAACCGGAAGCCGCGCGCCCUACCUUCUCUCUCCCGCCCCGCCAGGGCCAAGCUUCCAAAGCCAGCCUUUCGUGUUGUCUCUUUUACUGA